ACCUCUUCUUGGAUCUGCUGCAGUUGUAUAAGGACCUGUGUGAGCGGCACGAGAAGGGUGUGCUGCAGAAGCACAAGCGGGCCUGGCACAAAUACAGCCUGAUGAAGAGGCAGAUGAUGAGCGCCGCCGUGCAGAACCGUGAGCCGGAGUCUGUGGAGCAGCUAGAGUCCCACAUUGUGGAGGAGGAGAAUGCGAUUCAGACCGUGGAGCUGCGGAACUACUUCUCCCUGUACUGCCUCCACCAGGAGACGCAGCUCAUCCACUUCUACCUGCCCCUCACCUCCCGCAUCCUCCAUGCCUUCGUGAACUCCCAGAUUCAAGGGCACAAGGAUAUGAGCAAGAUGUGGAAUGACCUGAGACUCAGGUUCAGCUGCCUCUUUGUGUACCACACAGUGCCCUGACCCCACCGCAUUCCCCACCGCAUUCCCCGCCGCAGUCCCCGCCGGAGGACGGCCUGUGUCCUCACUAGCGCGAGGCUAAGGCGCUGCUCCCUGUGGCCACACUAAACCCUCCUUGCAAACGGUGUGUCCCGUGUAAUUCUCUUUGGAUGGCAGCUCCCCUUCCCGCCAGUGCUGUAGCCAGAGCAGAUGCACUCAGCCUGCGGGCCGGGAGGUCACCCAUGGACCACAGGGCAGCUGUGCCACGCUGUCCUCCACCCCGUGGCCUGCUAGCCUGGUGGAGAGGGUUGGUGGGGUUCCUCCUGACACCCAGAGCCAUGGAGGAAGGCAGGGAUCUCUCAUCUCACAGAGAUUGUGCCUAGGGG
This 763-nucleotide long non-coding RNA is filed under the name Aotus nancymaae (Ma's night monkey). RNAcentral's name for it is "lncRNA (ENSANAG00000038933.1)". Lineage: Eukaryota; Metazoa; Chordata; Mammalia; Primates; Aotidae. The record is from RNAcentral.